UUUUAAUGUUAUGUUUUAAACUCGGAAAUUCUGGGUGGUCAUCAUCUUCUUCUCUUGCACUUUACGAGACUGGAGUUAAAUAACGGCAUGCACUAU
This is a small nucleolar RNA of Juglans microcarpa x Juglans regia, 96 nucleotides long. RefSeq annotates it as small nucleolar RNA snoR97. NCBI's taxonomy places the organism in Eukaryota, Viridiplantae, Streptophyta, Magnoliopsida, Fagales, Juglandaceae. The record is from RefSeq and is a predicted model, not a curated record. The transcript has a single exon.